UACGUAGGCAGCAAGCGUUGUUCGGAAUUACUGGGCGUAAAGAGUGUGUAGGCGGUGCUCCAAGUCUGGUGUGAAAUCUCCCGGCUUAACUUGGAGGGUGCAUUAGAAACUGGAAUGCUAGAGGAUGGGAGAGGUAAGCGGAAUUCCUGGUGUAGCGGUGAAAUGCGUAGAUAUCAGGAGGAACACCUGUGGUGUAGACAGCUUACUGGACCAUUUCUGACGCUGAGACGCGAAAGCUAGGGGAGCAAACAGG
RNAcentral lists this ribosomal RNA (253 nucleotides) under uncultured bacterium. RNAcentral describes it as "partial 16S ribosomal RNA". It matches the Rfam family "Bacterial small subunit ribosomal RNA", at positions 524 to 776 of the family's 1533-position model. The record is from RNAcentral.